Molecule: long non-coding RNA, 1203 nt
Organism: Puntigrus tetrazona (Sumatra barb)
Lineage: Eukaryota; Metazoa; Chordata; Actinopteri; Cypriniformes; Cyprinidae
Exons: 3
Source: RefSeq, a predicted model, not a curated record
CAGAUUAUUGCUAUGGCAACAUCUACAUUCCUAUCGCCGUAGUACUCUGUGAAGCGUUGCUGCUUUCGAUUGCUUUAAAUGUCUACUUCAUUUGCAUGACAAGAUGCAGAGACCCGUGCCAGAACUUUUACAAUCAUUAUAUUUCUGUCUGGUGCAGUCGUGGGACAGCGACUGAGCCUGAGCAAUCAGACGACCAGGUUCCAGCCGACACGCAAUACUCUGUACUGAAUGUUCCAGAAGACAAAAAUAAUCACGAGGAAGAAUCAGAAGUGAACCCCAGUGAGGGCUGUGUGUACUCAGCUGUGAAACACUAGAAAAGGAGACCCCAUCAUAAACAUAUGCUAACAUUGGUGAUAUGAUCUGUUUUUUAACCCCGUCUCUCUCUGUUACUGUUUUGCAUUUUUGUUUGGAUUUGUAUUUAAUCUGUCUGGGAUGUGUAUUCAAGCAGGUGUUGAACGGUUUUCUGAAUAUGUAAAAGUUUCAAAUGUUGGAGGGGAUUUGUAUUAUUAUUGUUAUGAAAUAUAAUUGUGAACUACUGUUGAUUAGUUGCAUUGGUGGUGCAGAUCUGUGUCUUCUAGCUGAAUGCAAAUGAGCAUCUGUGGUUACACGAGCAGCGUCAACAGUUGCCCUUUGCUAUUCAUUUAGCCGUUGUGUAGGCUUCAAUGCGUUGGUCUCAAACUGCACAGUUUAGCUUCAACCGUAAUCAAACACACCAUUCGAGGUCUUUAGGAUUAUUAGAAACGGCCAAGCGGAUGUGAUUUGGAGCUGGUUGGAGCUUAACUGCCCCUGAGACCGCAGCUUUAGUGUGAUGUAGGUUUGUUUUCUUGUGUUUCAUUCGGACCGGUGCCGAGUUGUAAAUUCACCAUUUAUCAAAUCUGAAAGACGAGAAAAAAACAAUAGUUAUCGCCUUACUUACCUACUUGAUUGUUUUGCUAAUUGCAAACAUUUUUUUAUUUUAAUGUUGUUAAAGUUGUUGUUUUAAUGUUCUUUUUUUUUAAGUUUAAAUAUGCAAAUACAUGUUACAUUUCUACAUUUCGAAUCCAUUUGUACACCGGAAGAAGCCAGUUUUUUUAGUUCUUAUUUAAUUUGUUUGACGUAUUAGAGUCAAAAGUUUUUACAGAGGGCAUUUUUGUGUGUCUCAUUUAAUCAGAAAAUACUUAUGAAAACAGACAGAAAACAAUGCAUUUUAUUGGGGGAAUAAAA